Haplochromis burtoni (Burton's mouthbrooder) is the source of this 71-nucleotide non-coding RNA. The record is from the annotation of a RefSeq genome assembly. Lineage: Eukaryota; Metazoa; Chordata; Actinopteri; Cichliformes; Cichlidae.
GCAUUGGUGGUUCAGUGGUAGAACUUUUGCCUGCCACGCAGGAGACACGGGUUCGUUUCCCGGCCAAUGCA